GUAUCUUCUGCUAGAUACAUAUACUGAAAUUAACAACAAACAAAGAAGAUAACCAGGACCCCUGCUCAAAUAAGAUAUGCGAAUUAAUGAAGCUGUACACACCCAC
RNAcentral lists this small nuclear RNA (106 nucleotides) under Mesocestoides corti. The record is from RNAcentral. Lineage: Eukaryota; Metazoa; Platyhelminthes; Cestoda; Cyclophyllidea; Mesocestoididae.